UUCUUUUCCAAUAUAUCAAAAGUACAACCUGCCCACUGAGAGCUUGAAGGGCUGCAGGAUUUAACUGUGCAAAGGUAGCAUAAUAAUUAGUUUUUUAAUUAAGGAAUGGAAUGAACGGUUAAAUAGUGUGUCGCUAUUAAUACAGUUUAGUUGAAAUUGAAUUGUAAGUGAAAAUGCUUACAUUUUUCUAAAAGACGAUAAGACCCUAUAGAUCUUGAUUACUAUAAUAUUUUUAAGUAAAGGUGUUUUUAAGUUCAAAGUAGUAUUUUUACUGGGGUGGUAGCAGAAAUCAACAAACUUCUUUAAUUUUUUUAACCUAAAAUUUGGAUAAAAAGAUACCUUAGGGAUAACAGCGUUAUAAAAUUUUAGAGAUCUAAUCGAUGAUUUAGUUUGCGACCUCGAUGUUGAAUUAGAGAGUUAGUAUUUAGCAGUAUAAAUAUUAAAUGGUCUGUUCGACCAUUAAUUCUCUACA
This 472-nucleotide ribosomal RNA is filed under the name Megalothorax sp. EA040003-cs16x. RNAcentral describes it as "partial 16S ribosomal RNA". It matches the Rfam family "Bacterial large subunit ribosomal RNA", at positions 1831 to 2600 of the family's 2925-position model. The record is from RNAcentral. Lineage: Eukaryota; Metazoa; Arthropoda; Collembola; Neelipleona; Neelidae.